Phragmites australis (common reed) is the source of this 3496-nucleotide RNA transcript. RefSeq lists it as uncharacterized. NCBI's taxonomy places the organism in Eukaryota, Viridiplantae, Streptophyta, Magnoliopsida, Poales, Poaceae. The transcript is spliced from 8 exons. The record is from RefSeq and is a predicted model, not a curated record.
GUCUUGGAGAGUAGAUUUUGACUAUUAAUUUCUCUUAUAACAUCAAAUGUUACAAAAUUAACAUCAUAUCAAAAGCACUUUGAAAUAGAAAAUCUAUUGAUGUAAUUUUUGUACUCUAAAUAUACAUAUAUUUUGACUAAUUGUUGAUCAAAAUUUACAAAAUUUAUCUUUUUCAAAUAAAAAUAUGUCUUACAUAAAUGGACAAGAGAGCACUUCCCUGGCAAUUCAGCUAUCGUUUCGAUGAGUGCCGAAAAUUGGCAUAGCCCGUGGAUUUUGGCUAAGGUAAUGAAAAGAGUUCAAGGGACAUGUGAUGGAGAAUAAGAGAGCAAAAUUUCUAUUGAGUAGGAAAAGACAACGAGUGUCAUCCCAUAGCAAACCAUAUUAGGAAUUUCAAUUUCAUUUUACAAUUUUUUCGUUCACCAGCGAAAAGAUCAAAAUUCACGAAAUUUCAGUCAUUUGUCAUCUCUGCUCUAUGUCUUACAUGUCAGUGAAAGAAAAUUCCAAAUUUACAUAUUUCGUUCUCCUCCAAAAUUCCUAAAAUUUGUAAAAUUUUCGUCGAAUUUUUAAUCCAUGAACCAUAUACUACCACUCUUUCUAAAACUAAACGAGGCUAUCGCGAGACUAGCCUUUUCAUCAACAACGAUAUUGGCACCGGAGGAGGAGGAUGGCUGCCCUUCUGAUCACGAAGAUGACGGCAAUAGUGGCCACACACCCAAUCUGAGGAGGCGGUGUGGGUUACGAGGAACGAGGAAAGGGAUGGGAUGUGGCACGGUGGCCUCCUCAUCCGAGGAGUGGUCGUAGCACGAGGAGAUGAGAGCAAUUUAGUCUCUAGAAAAUCACAUGGAUGAGAAUAGAGUAGCGUGAGCAACAUGAGAUGCUUAGGGAGUAGGGGAGAUUUUAGUGUGAUGGGAAUACUAAAAGUAUGGAAAGAAUCUGGUUGAAAUGUUAAUUAAUUCCCAUGAUGGAGACAACGCUCCACCUUGGCCCUAUAAAAAUAUGGAAAGAAUUCAGUAAUUAACUACAAUAUUAAUAGUUAAAUCAAAUGAUUUAAAGAGUAACUUUGCAUCUCAGUCGUUUGAAGAGAGGUGAUGGGGGUCGAGAUCUAUUUUUCUUGCCAAACUUUUCAUUUUUUACAUAAUUAUAUAUUAUAAUAUAGAUAUAGAUGGCAUACAAUAAGAUUUUGGUGGAAAAGGAUUUUUUUAAUUAUUUCCACUGAAAAUUAUGAACUUAUGAGAAGGGACAUUGGUGAGCCUGACGUGUGGAUCCCAGCCCUACAGCCAUUAGUGACUGAACAUUCCUUCGGAUGUCUGAUUCAACGGCCACCAUGAGCCGAGGUGUCCAAAAGUAGCCGGCCAACGCGUGCUGUCCGUCCGAUCCCGGAACCAUCGGAACAAGCCGCGCGCCGCCCACAAGGCCACAAGGGCCAAGGAUCUUGUCGUCCCGCUCCCGCCUCGAAGGAGACCUCAGAAUUCUUCCCGCGCGGUCGCACCAAAUUCCCCUUCCACCGCCGCCGCCUCGCGCUAUUCACCAAUCACCGCCCCCACCCGGUCCUAGACCGCUUCCUUGGCUUUCUGAGCGUUCUGGAGUGGCAGAUCCGGCCCUCUCCUGCAGCGGCAUUCCGUCGAGCACGUCGCGCGCGGCUGUGGGAGGGCGUCGGGGAGGAUGUACGGGAGGCGCGCGUCGCAGCUGCUGAGGGAGAUCGACUCCUCCGAGGCCGGCCAACUCGCGUCUUUUAACAGCGACGUGUUUGAUCAGAUCAUCAGAGAGUGCAAUGAGCACAAUGCACAGUUUCAGUCAUUGAUCAGGAAAAUGGUGGAGCAAAACUUAGAUAUCGAAACAACUAGAAACGAGGAUCACUAUGGUGCAGCUAUCCACCAUCUUUCCCUGCUCUGUAACAAAAGAUGCCUCAUGGCUUACAUGUACAACCGAGCAGAAAUUAUUCAGAGUUUUAGAUGGAAAGUUGGUCCUGUGCUUCCUCAUGACAUACAAGAAAAGCUCCACUUCUCAGAGAAAGAGUAUUUCAAGAACCAUUCUGCGGCCAUUAAGUCAUACAUAUCAGAGAUGGAUAUAGAUUUAACAGUGGACAUGGUACCUCCCAAGGAUCCUUACAUUCAGGUUCGGGUGCUGGAGGACAUUGGUGAAGUAUCUCUUGGCGACCACUCAGUAUCAUUAACCAAGAACUCACUCCAUUUCCUAAGGCGCACAGAUGCUGAACAAUUUAUAUCACAGGGUCUUAUGGAAGAAUUUCUGGAGUAGGGACCACAUAUGAUGUUCAUUGAAUAGAGACUAUGAGAAACAACGAAAGAACAUAUGCCAUCUUGGGUGUGAAGAGUUCGGAUUCUAACUUGUUCUAGUCAGAAGCCACAACACUGGCUCAUUCCACAUUUCCACCUUUGUAUCAAAUCACAAGUGACCUUCCAUCUUCGCCAGGAAGCAAGACUAGCGCAGUACAUGCAGGAAAGUUUCUGCUUGCUGGAUUUAUGUAAAAGUGUACUGAACAUCACUUAGUUAAGGUUGGUAUCUUCUUUUAGUCACCACAAGUUUCUUAAGAUGCUUUUAUUCCUGGGAAACAUUCAAACGGGCGUGGCUAUCUCUGCACUAACUGAAAUUUAGAGAACUCUAGCUUGAAGAUUGCUAAAUUACUUGAGGUAAAAACCAUAUGACAUCAGUAUUGUAUGUAUGUUGCUUUUAAUAUCCACGAACUUUCAAAUUUGAGUUGUAUCAUUGCCUGAUGCUUAUUGACGAUGCACUUGUUUGAGAAUGCAGUACCAUGCCAUAAUUCCUUACCUAACCUCUACCUGUACAUACUUCUUUACUGUGCUACCUGAAAUGUCCUACCCAGUAUAUUAUGCAUACAUGCAGAAGUUAUAUGCCCAAACUGUGCUGUGAAGGUAAAAACAUAAAAAUGCAUGUACCAAGUAUAAAUAUCAGACUGAAACGCCUUUCUCUCUGUUUACAAGAGCUUCAUUCGACAAUGUCGUUCAUAUUUACUUUGUAUGCCAGUGCAUUGCUUUGGCCUUUGAAAUGCUCUAAUCGUUGAGAUUGCCAUGCUGUAUACUUGUGCGUUAUGGUGAAAAUAGUUAAAAUGUUUGGCAGGCACAACUUGACGUCUUUACUUUCUGUUCAGGUGUAUUUAUAAAUGAUGCUUUAAUGUGAUUAUUAGCGGGGGAAAAGAACCUUCACCGUAUCAUACUCUGCCGUUCCCUUUUCCGGUCCUUGUUUUGUCUACAAGAUGCAGCUGAACAAACUUCUUGCAGUGUCGUGUCAAAAAAAGGAAGAAUUUCCAGUAGUGUCUUGUACGUCAGCUUUGUUGGCAUGAACACAAGCUAGUCCUGAAAUAUUUAGCCUUUUCGGUUCAGUUCCUGCAAUGUUGGCGUUAGGUAUUCUUAGAAGCUACGGCCCGAUUGGGGUCCAUACUGCAAUUCAAAUAUAAAAACUAACUUACCAUCCAAAACUUAGGUAUUUUGAAAUAAGGAGGCAACUUUAUUUCAUAUUC